RNAcentral lists this long non-coding RNA (452 nucleotides) under Mytilus galloprovincialis (Mediterranean mussel). The record is from RNAcentral. Lineage: Eukaryota; Metazoa; Mollusca; Bivalvia; Mytilida; Mytilidae.
AUAUAUAAAAAAGAAGAUGUGGUAUGAUUGCCAAUGAGACAGCUAUCCACAAAAGAUCAAAAUGACACAGACAUUAACAACUAUAGGUCACCGUACGGCCUUCAACAAUGAGCAAAGCCCAUACCGCAUAGUGAGCUAUAAAAGGCCCCGAUAAGACAAUUCAAACGAGAAAAUUAACGGUCUUAUUUAUGUAAAAAAAAAAAAAAAAAAAAAAAAAAAAAUGAACGAAAAACAAAUAUGUAACACAUAAACAAACGACAACCACUGAAUUACAGGCUUCUGACUUGGGACAGGCACAUACAUAAAUAGUGUAGCGAGGUUAAACAUGUAAGCGGGAUCCCAACCCUCCCCCUAACCUGGGACAGUGGUAUAACAGUACAUCAUAAGAACGAACUAUAAAAAUCAGUUGAAAAAGGCUUACCUCAUCAGAAGGACAAAAAUACAAGUGGACG